GAUGAAGAACGCAGCGAAAUGCGAUAAGUAAUGUGAAUUGCAGAAUUCAGUGAAUCAUCGAAUCUUUGAACGCACAUUGCGCCCCCUGGUAUUCCGGGGGGCAUGCCUGUCCGAGCGUCAUUACAACCCUCAAGCUCAGCUUGGUGUUGGGCCCCGCCGCCCCGGCGGGCCCUAAAGUCAGUGGCGGUGCCGUCCGGCUCCGAGCGUAGUAAUUCUUCUCGCUCUGGAGGUCCGGUCGUGUGCUCGCCAGCAACCCCCAAUUUUUUUCAGGUUGACCUCGGAUCAGGUAGGGAUUCCCGCUGAACUUAAGCAUAUCAAUAAGCGGAGGA
Molecule: unclassified non-coding RNA, 329 nt
Filed under: soil metagenome
Description: partial contains 5.8S ribosomal RNA, internal transcribed spacer 2, and large subunit ribosomal RNA
Rfam family: 5.8S ribosomal RNA (bases 1-120)
Source: RNAcentral